RNAcentral lists this ribosomal RNA (382 nucleotides) under uncultured eukaryote. RNAcentral's name for it is "partial 18S ribosomal RNA". It matches the Rfam family "Eukaryotic small subunit ribosomal RNA", at positions 592 to 976 of the family's 1831-position model. The record is from RNAcentral.
UGUAAGCGUAUACCAAAGUUGUUGCAGUUAAAACGCUCGUAGUCGGAAUUUGGCAGUUCCGGAUGUGUGCACGUCGUGUGCGCACUUCGCGGGGAUUGCUUUUGUGGUCUUGCGUAGGAUGAGGCACUUUUAUUAGUGAACGACCUCACGCAACCACUUUUUACUGUGAGAAAAUCAGAGUGCUCAAAGCAGGCAUUUGCCGUGAAUGUAUUAGCAUGGAAUAAUAGAAUAGGACUUGGUUCUAUUUUGUUGGUUUGUUGGGACUGAGUAAUGAUUAAGAGGGACAGUUGGGGGCAUUUGUAUUUCGGUGCUAGAGGUGAAAUUCUUAGAUUACCGAAAGACAAACUGCUGCGAAAGCGUCUGCCAAGGAUGUUUUCAUUGA